RNAcentral lists this ribosomal RNA (591 nucleotides) under Aleiodes sp. BF000595. RNAcentral describes it as "LSU rRNA". It matches the Rfam family "Eukaryotic large subunit ribosomal RNA", at positions 432 to 798 of the family's 3401-position model. Lineage: Eukaryota; Metazoa; Arthropoda; Insecta; Hymenoptera; Braconidae. The record is from RNAcentral.
UGUAUAUGUAUAAGUUAUGAUGCGGGUUACUACUUGUAGUAUUGCCUGCACAUUCUUGUAUAUUUAGUUUGCAGGAUGUUGUCGGCGUGCACUUCUCCCCUAGUAGAACGUCGCGACCUGUUGGGUAUCGGUCUACGGCCCAAGUGAUAGACUUUAAUGUAAUUUAAAAAGCAUUAAAGAUCCUUGGUGUUUUCUGACCGGUUACUUGGCAGUAUUCGUACGGUAUUUAGCCGCUAAAUUUAUUAAGCGUCCGUAUCCGUCACAAGCGAGGCUAAUUUACUUGAUAGUACGGACCUAGUGCCGUCGUUGGUAUUGGCCAGCUGUUGGUUGUAUGGUAUUCUAGGACUGGCUAAAAUUAAUUACCGGUCGGCGAUGCUACUGCUUUGGGUACUUUCAGGACCCGUCUUGAAACACGGACCAAGGAGUCUAACAUGUGCGCAAGUCAUUGGGUUAUUUUUUCAAAAUUAAACCUAAAGGCGCAAUGAAAGUAAAAGUUGACCUUGCGUUAACUUAGGGAGGAUAAGUUAUAUUAAGAUAUAGCUUCGCACUCCUGGGGCGUCUCAUUCUUAUUAUAAGAAGAGGCGCACCUAG